AGAAUAUUAGUCAAUGCUCGCAGAGUGAACUAGCUAACUGAAAUCCUAAUUUCACUUAAUCGUGCAAUUAUGAUAAGGUAAGGGAAAAAAAUGAUAAUACCUUACUAUUAGUGUGGUCUAAAUUACUGGUGCCAGAAGACUCGGUAACACCAGAAACGCGAACGUUAGUCGUCUUAAACAGGCGUAAAGGGUAAGUAGGCAGCUUUAUAAAAGUUUAUGUUAAUUUAAGCUAUAAAUAUUUUAAAUGUAAUUUAUUUAGUUUUUAAUGUAGAUUGAUUAAAAGCUAGAAUCAUAUUGAGAUAAACCAAAUAAUACUUAAGUGUAGGGAUAAUAUCCAUAGAUACUAAGUGGAAUACUAAUGGUGUAAACUUUUAUCUACUAAUGAUUGACGCUGAGGAACGAAAGUGAGAACAGGGAAUAGGAUUAGAUACCCAGUUACCUCUCACCGUCAACGAUGAAUGGUAGUUAUUAUUUUUGAAUAAAAAUUAGUAACGAUGUUAACGCGAUAACCAUUCCGCCUUGAGAGUACGGUUGCAAAACUGAAACCAAAAAAAUUAGUCGGUCUCGGAGCAACGAAGUGAAGCAU
Molecule: ribosomal RNA, 586 nt
Filed under: Naucoria bohemica
Lineage: Eukaryota; Fungi; Basidiomycota; Agaricomycetes; Agaricales
Description: SSU rRNA
Rfam family: Bacterial small subunit ribosomal RNA
Source: RNAcentral